Molecule: ribosomal RNA, 516 nt
Filed under: uncultured Glomus
Lineage: Eukaryota; Fungi; Glomeromycota; Glomeromycetes; Glomerales; Glomeraceae
Description: SSU rRNA
Rfam family: Eukaryotic small subunit ribosomal RNA
Source: RNAcentral
AGCAGCCGCGGUAAUUCCAGCUCCAAUAGCGUAUAUUAAAGUUGUUGCAGUUAAAAAGCUCGUAGUUGAAUUUCGAGAUCAAAUUGUUGGUCGUGCCUUGGUACGUACUGACAUUAUUGGUUUCUCCCUUCUGAAGAACCAUGAUGUCAUUAAUUUGGUGUCAUGGGGAAUCAGGACUGUUACUUUGAAAAAAUUAGAGUGUUUAAAGCAGGCUCGCGCUUGAAUACAUUAGCAUGGAAUAAUGAAAUAGGACGUUUAAUUCUAUUUUGUUGGUUUCUAGGAUUGACGUAAUGAUUAAUAGGGAUAGUUGGGGGCAUUAGUAUUCAAUUGUCAGAGGUGAAAUUUUUGGAUUUAUUGAAGACUAACUACUGCGAAAGCAUUUGCCAAGGAUGUUUUCAUUAAUCAAGACGAAAGUUAGGGGAUCGAAGACGAUCAGAUACCGUCGUAGUCUUAACCAUAAACUAUGCCGACUAGGGAUCGGAUGAUGUUAAUUUUUAAUUGACUCAUUCGGCGCCG